Daphnia pulex (common water flea) is the source of this 74-nucleotide non-coding RNA. The record is from Rfam. NCBI's taxonomy places the organism in Eukaryota, Metazoa, Arthropoda, Branchiopoda, Diplostraca, Daphniidae.
AUUAAAUGAUGAAACAUUUUUCACCAUCUUUCGACUGAUAGUAAUGAUCGAUUAAAUUUUUACUGAAGUAAAUU